Molecule: ribosomal RNA, 250 nt
Filed under: uncultured bacterium
Lineage: Bacteria
Description: partial 16S ribosomal RNA
Rfam family: Bacterial small subunit ribosomal RNA
Source: RNAcentral
GACGGGGGGAGCUAGUGUUAUUCAACGUAAUUGGGCGUAAAGCGUUCGUAGACGGUUUAUUAAUUAAAGUAUUGACCCAUGGGUUUUAUGGUAGCUACUUUACAAUGAUAGGACUAGAGUCGAGCAGAGGGUAAUAGAAUUUUCAGGGUAGGGGUAAAAUUCAUUGAUACUGAAAAGACUAUCAACGGCAAAGGCAAUUAUCCAUGCUUCGUACUGACGUUGAGGAACGGAGGCGUGGGGAGCGAAUGGG